GAUGAACGCUGGCGGCGUGCCUAACACAUGCAAGUCGAGCGUGAUUAAGUGGAGUGAGGACUUCGGUCUGAGUGAAACUUAUGAAAGCGGCGGACGGGUGAGUAACGCGUGGGCAACCUGCCCCAUACAAAGGGAUAGCCACUGGAAACGGUGAUUAAUACCUUAUAAGUCGGUAGUCUCGCAUGAGAUAGCCGACAAAGAUUUAUCGGUAUGGGAUGGGCCCGCGUCUGAUUAGCUAGUUGGUGAGGUAACGGCUCACCAAGGCGACGAUCAGUAGCCGACCUGAGAGGGUGAUCGGCCACACUGGAACUGAGACACGGUCCAGACUCCUACGGGAGGCAGCAGUGGGGAAUAUUGCACAAUGGGCGCAAGCCUGAUGCAGCAACGCCGCGUGAGUGAAGAAGGCCUUCGGGUUGUAAAACUCUGUCCUAUGGGAAGAAACAAAUGACGGUACCAUGGGAGGAAGCCCCGGCUAACUACGUG
This 483-nucleotide ribosomal RNA is filed under the name uncultured bacterium. Its description in RNAcentral is "bacterial SSU rRNA". It matches the Rfam family "Bacterial small subunit ribosomal RNA", at positions 28 to 507 of the family's 1533-position model. The record is from RNAcentral.